AAAAAAGGUAAGCUACUAAGAGCGAAUGGUGGAUGCCUUGACUGGUAAAGGCGAUGAAGGACGUACUAGACUGCGAUAAGCUACGGGGAGCUGUCAAGAAGCUUUGAUCCGUAGAUUUCCGAAUGGGGCAACCCAAUGUAUAGAGAUAUACAUUACCUAUAUAGGAGCGAACGAGGGGAAUUGAAACAUCUUAGUACCCUCAGGAAAAGAAAUCAAUAGAGAUUGCGUCAGUAGCGGCGAGCGAAAGCGCAAGAGGGCAAACCCAGUGCCUUGCACUGGGGGUUGUAGGACUGCAAUGUGCAAGAGGUAAGUUUAGCAGAACAUUCUGGAAAGUAUAACCAUAGAGGGUGAUAGUCCCGUAUGCGAAAAACAAACCUUAGCUAGCAGUAUCCUGAGUAGGGCGGGACACGAGGAAUCCUGUCUGAAUCCGGGUCGACCACGAUCCAACCCUAAAUACUAAUACCAGAUCGAUAGUGCACAAGUACCGUGAGGGAAAGGUGAAAAGAACUGAGGUGAUCAGAGUGAAAUAGAACCUGAAACCAUUUGCUUACAAUCAUUCAGAGCCCUAUGUAGCAAUACAGGGUGAUGGACUGCCUUUUGCAUAAUGAGCCUGCGAGUUGUGGUGUCUGGCAAGGUUAAGCAAACGCGAAGCCGUAGCGAAAGCGAGUCUGAAUAGGGCGCUUAGUCAGAUGCUGCAGACCCGAAACGAAGUGAUCUAUCCAUGAGCAAGUUGAAGCUAGUGUAAGAACUAGUGGAGGACUGAACCCAUAGGCGUUGAAAAGCCCCGGGAUGACUUGUGGAUAGGGGUGAAAGGCCAAUCAAACUUCGUGAUAGCUGGUUCUCUCCGAAAUAUAUUUAGGUAUAGCGUUGUGUCGUAAUAUAAGGGGGUAGAGCACUGAAUGGGCUAGGGCAUACACCAAUGUACCAAACCCUAUCAAACUCCGAAUACCUUAUAUGUAAUCACAGCAGUCAGGCGGCGAGUGAUAAAAUCCGUCGUCAAGAGGGAAACAACCCAGACUACCAGCUAAGGUCCCUAAAUCUUACUUAAGUGGAAAACGAUGUGAAGUUACUUAAACAACCAGGAGGUUGGCUUAGAAGCAGCCAUCCUUUAAAGAAAGCGUAAUAGCUCACUGGUCUAGUGAUUUUGCGCGGAAAAUAUAACGGGGCUAAAGUAAGUACCGAAGCUGUAGACUUGCACACAACUUAGAUUAUUUAAGUUUAGAAUAUGAGAAACUAAGUUAUAUGUUUAGUUAUAUUUUUACUGAUUUUUAUAGAGUAAAGAUAGAAAUAAAACUUAGUAAAAUCAGUAAAAAUAUUCUUAGACUAAAGUUAAGUAGUUUAAGUUGUGUGCAAGUGGUAGGAGAGCGUUCUAUUUGCGUCGAAGGUAUACCGGUAAGGAGUGCUGGAGCGAAUAGAAGUGAGCAUGCAGGCAUGAGUAGCGAUAAUUAAUGUGAGAAUCAUUAACGCCGUAAACCCAAGGUUUCCUACGCGAUGCUCGUCAUCGUAGGGUUAGUCGGGUCCUAAGUCGAGUCCGAAAGGGGUAGACGAUGGCAAAUUGGUUAAUAUUCCAAUACCAACAUUAGUGUGCGAUGGAAGGACGCUUAGGGCUAAGGGGGCUAGCGGAUGGAAGUGCUAGUCUAAGGUCGUAGGAGGUUAUACAGGCAAAUCCGUAUAACAAUACUCCGAGAACUGAAAGGCUUUUUGAAGUCUUCGGAUGGAUAGAAGAACCCCUGAUGCCGUCGAGCCAAGAAAAGUUUCUAAGUUUAGCUAAUGUUGCCCGUACCGUAAACCGACACAGGUGGGUGGGAUGAGUAUUCUAAGGCGCGUGGAAGAACUCUCUUUAAGGAACUCUGCAAAAUAGCACCGUAUCUUCGGUAUAAGGUGUGGUUAGCUUUGUAUUAGGAUUUACUCCGAAAGCAAGGAAACUUACAACAAAGAGUCCCUCCCGACUGUUUACCAAAAACACAGCACUCUGCUAACUCGUAAGAGGAUGUAUAGGGUGUGACGCCUGCCCGGUGCUCGAAGGUUAAUUGAUGGGGUUAGCAUUAGCGAAGCUCUUGAUCGAAGCCCGAGUAAACGGCGGCCGUAACUAUAACGGUCCUAAGGUAGCGAAAUUCCUUGUCGGUUAAAUACCGACCUGCAUGAAUGGCGUAACGAGAUGGGAGCUGUCUCAAAGAGGGAUCCAGUGAAAUUGUAGUGGAGGUGAAAAUUCCUCCUACCCGCGGCAAGACGGAAAGACCCCGUGGACCUUUACUACAGCUUGACACUGCUACUUGGAUAAGAAUGUGCAGGAUAGGUGGGAGGCUUUGAGUAUAUGACGCCAGUUGUAUAUGAGCCAUUGUUGAGAUACCACUCUUUCUUAUUUGGGUAGCUAACCAGCUUGAGUUAUCCUCAAGUGGGACAAUGUCUGGUGGGUAGUUUGACUGGGGCGGUCGCCUCCCAAAUAAUAACGGAGGCUUACAAAGGUUGGCUCAGAACGGUUGGAAAUCGUUCGUAGAGUAUAAAGGUAUAAGCCAGCUUAACUGCAAGACAUACAAGUCAAGCAGAGACGAAAGUCGGUCUUAGUGAUCCGGUGGUUCUGUGUGGAAGGGCCAUCGCUCAAAGGAUAAAAGGUACCCCGGGGAUAACAGGCUGAUCUCCCCCAAGAGCUCACAUCGACGGGGAGGUUUGGCACCUCGAUGUCGGCUCAUCGCAUCCUGGGGCUGGAGCAGGUCCCAAGGGUAUGGCUGUUCGCCAUUUAAAGCGGUACGCGAGCUGGGUUCAGAACGUCGUGAGACAGUUCGGUCCCUAUCUGCCGUGGGCGUAAGAAGAUUGAAGAGAUUUGACCCUAGUACGAGAGGACCGGGUUGAACAAACCACUGGUGUAGCUGUUGUUCUGCCAAGAGCAUCGCAGCGUAGCUAAGUUUGGAAAGGAUAAACGCUGAAAGCAUCUAAGCGUGAAGCCAACUCUAAGAUGAAUCUUCUCUAAGCUCUCUAGAAGACUACUAGUUUGAUAGGCUGGGUGUGUAAUGGAUGAAAGUCCUUUAGCUGACCAGUACUAAUAGAGCGUUUGGCUUAUCUUUAAUAAAGCAU
This 3072-nucleotide ribosomal RNA is filed under the name Campylobacter jejuni. RNAcentral describes it as "23S ribosomal RNA". It matches the Rfam family "Bacterial large subunit ribosomal RNA". Lineage: Bacteria; Pseudomonadati; Campylobacterota; Epsilonproteobacteria; Campylobacterales; Campylobacteraceae. The record is from RNAcentral.